GACGAACGCUGGCGGCGCGCCUAACACAUGCAAGUCGAACGGAGUUGUGUUGAAAGCUUGCUGGAUAUACAACUUAGUGGCGGACGGGUGAGUAACACGUGAGUAACCUGCCUCUCAGAGUGGAAUAACGUUUGGAAACGAACGCUAAUACCGCAUAACGUGAGAAGAGGGCAUCCUCUUUUUACCAAAGAUUUAUCGCUGAGAGAUGGCCUCGCGUCCGAUUAGCUGGUUGGUGAGGUAACGGCCCACCAAGGCGACGAUCGGUAGCCGGACUGAGAGGUUGAACGGCCACAUUGGGACUGAGACACGGCCCAG
This 315-nucleotide ribosomal RNA is filed under the name uncultured bacterium. RNAcentral's name for it is "bacterial SSU rRNA". It matches the Rfam family "Bacterial small subunit ribosomal RNA", at positions 28 to 334 of the family's 1533-position model. The record is from RNAcentral.